GCAAUUCCUGCGUACGCGAGCCGGUCAUUAGCAAACAGGAACACAGCGGCAGGACAGCAAACAUGUCAGACAAGAAACAGACCGUGGACCUGGGUUUACUGGAGGAGGAUGAUGAGUUUGAAGAAUUCCCAGCCGAGGAUUGGACGGGGCUGGAUGAAGAUGAAGAUGCUCAUGUUUGGGAAGACAAUUGGGAUGAUGAUAACGUAGAAGAUGAUUUCUCAAAUCAACUGAGAGCGGAGCUGGAAAAACAUGGUUACAAAAUGGAGACAUCAUAGCGGCUGACAAGGCCUUUCAGUAUACGAUGACAUUGGAUAUGGACAUUUAUAUUUGACUGCAUACUAACGUACUGCAUACAUGCUAGUUGACCACGCAGCAACAGAAGACAUUUGAAGAUGUUGAUUUAUUUCUUUCUUUUUUUGUAACAAAUAUUGAUAAAAGUAAAGUGUUUGGACAAAAUGGUUCCUUUCAAGUGUUUUUACUGCAAAUAUUUAGACAGUGACAUUUACAGAUAGUAAAUUUGCAGUUGCUUGCACACUACAUUAGUGUUUAUUUUAUCUUUUGUGUGUUGUCCACCCUAUAAACACUGUGUCUGAUCUA
This is a long non-coding RNA of Toxotes jaculatrix (banded archerfish), 597 nucleotides long. RefSeq lists it as uncharacterized. Lineage: Eukaryota; Metazoa; Chordata; Actinopteri; Toxotidae. The record is from RefSeq and is a predicted model, not a curated record. The transcript is spliced from 3 exons.